RNAcentral lists this ribosomal RNA (432 nucleotides) under Staphylococcus aureus. RNAcentral describes it as "partial 23S ribosomal RNA". It matches the Rfam family "Bacterial large subunit ribosomal RNA", at positions 2471 to 2904 of the family's 2925-position model. The record is from RNAcentral. Lineage: Bacteria; Bacillati; Bacillota; Bacilli; Caryophanales; Staphylococcaceae.
GGGAUAACAGGCUUAUCUCCCCCAAGAGUUCACAUCGACGGGGAGGUUUGGCACCUCGAUGUCGGCUCAUCGCAUCCUGGGGCUGUAGUCGGUCCCAAGGGUUGGGCUGUUCGCCCAUUAAAGCGGUACGCGAGCUGGGUUCAGAACGUCGUGAGACAGUUCGGUCCCUAUCCGUCGUGGGCGUAGGAAAUUUGAGAGGAGCUGUCCUUAGUACGAGAGGACCGGGAUGGACAUACCUCUGGUGUACCAGUUGUCGUGCCAACGGCAUAGCUGGGUAGCUAUGUGUGGACGGGAUAAGUGCUGAAAGCAUCUAAGCAUGAAGCCCCCCUCAAGAUGAGAUUUCCCAACUUCGGUUAUAAGAUCCCUCAAAGAUGAUGAGGUUAAUAGGUUCGAGGUGGAAGCAUGGUGACAUGUGGAGCUGACGAAUACUAA